Long non-coding RNA from Astatotilapia calliptera (eastern happy), 2455 nucleotides. NCBI's taxonomy places the organism in Eukaryota, Metazoa, Chordata, Actinopteri, Cichliformes, Cichlidae. The record is from Ensembl.
CUGACUUUCAGAACAGGUGGAGAAUGGACAGACAAGCAGGUCGCUGACACCGACAGUUAGUCUGAAGUCAUUGAUUUUGGCUGCACAUCCGGCUGUCCGACUCCCUGUGUGUUUAUCUUCAGCGCUAAGAAUGCUGCGCGUUCAGUUUUUUGACAUCUGUUAUCAUCACAACCCCGAUAACAUUGACUCUGACCUCCAGCCUCGGUCACGGCCACCGAUAUUCAAACACAGACAUUCUUGUGACGCCUGCAUAGCAUUUCUGUUGUACAGUACUUACCAUCCAGAGAGGCUGAUAAAACACACACAUACUCACAUUGAUGUGAAAAGUAAUUAUCUUUCAUCUAUGGUCUUUUACGCUUUUUCCUUCAGCUUUUAUCUCCUAUCACUGUUCUUGAAAUUUUGGCUGCCUGUAUGGAAAUGGAUCGGACUGUGCGUUUGACAGAGGGCAGGGUUAUGUAACAGCCUUAAACUCUAAUCUCUCCUCUCUCAGCAGGAACAAACCAGGAGCAGAAAGAGUGUGUGAGAAAGUGCACCAGAGGCCAAAAGAAGUAACAGACAGAAACUCGAAGAAACUCCAACAAAAAGAUGGCUAUUGGCAGGAACUCCAGGAUGAGCUCAGUCCGAAGCUCCAUCAGGGCCCCAAAGUUUCUGGACAAAUCGAGUGGCUUCUAUGGUCGCCUCGACGAGCCCGAGGCCGCCACAGAGGUAGAGGAGACUGGUGUAAAUGUUUGCAACAUAGAGGAGGCAGUCUCGAGUGACCCAUCCAUCACAGCGGUGCAUUGUUCUGAUGAGAAGGAAGAAGGCGAGGUGUUUGGCUUCAGCGAAGGCAUGAUGGAAGAUGACGACGAGAGCCUCCUGAGGAGGAAACCCAGCCGCCGCAGCAGCAGGUGGAGGAGAAGCUCCAGGAGGAAGCAGAAAGAGGGGAGAGCAGACGAGGACGCAGCCAGAGAGGAGAGGCCCAGCCUGGGCACGGAGGGUCCAGCUGACUUCCCCGAGGACAUCAGGGUGAAGAUUGAGAUAGAGAUGGAGAACCUGAAGAAGGUGGAGGAAGAAAAUGAAAAGGCGGGCUGGGAGAAGGAACCCGUGCUCGUUCACUUCCCGGCUCGGGAGGACGCUGACGACCAAGUCCUUAUCCGAGACAAGAAGAGAGGAAGAGAAGACGAAGAGGAGGAGGAGAGGAGGAUGACGAAGGAGCAAGAGGAAGGGAUGAAAGUGGUGAAGAGGAAAAAUUACCGCAAGGCCUUGGACCGAGCACUGCGCCGCGGCUGGGAGGCCUUCGUCGCCAACCUCUACAGCGUCACGCUCUCACCGGUGAACUCCUCGCCAUCGUCGUCUUCACCGUCGUCGAAGAAGAAGCACCAGCACAAUUCAGUGUUAGCAGAAUUUCAAUAGAAAUGGAGAUAGAGAUGGACAAUGAAGCUUGAGGCUUCUUAACUUUUAAUAAUAUCAGGGUCAUGCAGCGUUUUACCGCGACUGCUGCAAAGUAUCGGACAAUCCUGCCUGUAUAACAUUUACCACAUGACGUGUCUGAGUCAUCACCUCAGGAAUAUUAAUCAAUUAUGUAACUUACUGAGUCUUGAUUACUCAGCUGAACCUUUAUCGCCUUAUUAGGAUGCACCUUAGUCAGGACACAAACUGCAGGGAUCCACUUUAGCUCGAUGGGCUGCUGGUUUUACAGUGAAGUCUAUGAGACUGGCCUGAACAGAAAUCCCUGGUCUUUAUGUGACUGAGUUCAGCAGCUGCUCGUCCCCUUCUGAUCUCCAGUUUUAGUCAAGUAAGAGCAUUUUAGCUCUUAAUAUCCAGUUCGUUACUAAGAGCUCGCAGUGCAAAUGAUCUCUGCUUCCUUUGGUUUAGCGCUGUGAAACUCCUCGAGUGUUGAUGUGUAACCAAAGGGGGUGGAAAGUUUAAAACGUAGCAGCUGACUGAUGGACUUUAGCUGUGGAGUAAUACAUACUUCUGUAGGAUUAACCGUGGUGCUCGUUGCCUAAUCAGACAAGCUAUUUAUGAGUAAAUAGUAUGCAGUAAAUCAGUAAUUAAACUUUAUUAGGGAUUCACAUUAUUAUGGACACAUUCUAUUAUUUAUGUAGGCUUUAUUGCAAGUGAAAAAGACGGACAGGGUCCAACCUUGUGCAAAGGAAUAUGUAAGAGUUUCUAUUAGAGCUUUUUAGCUUUUUCCUCAUGAGGUCCCUGCGUGUGUUCUAGUGAAGGUUAUUAAACCUGAAGGGACAGAGCAGGGAGGUGUAAGCUUAGAUGUCCGUCCAGAAAAAGAUAAUGCUUAUUUUUGGUCAAAAAAGUCAUAUUAAAUAGUGCAUAUUUUCUCUAUUUGAAUGCAAAGUUGUGUCUUUUUUAUGUGUUUGAUUUGUAAAACUGACGACUGUAUUUAAGAACUAUUAAUAAUGGACGUUUGUAGAUGUGACAAAAAUGCAAUAAAUGGUCUUUAAUUUUCAAACAUUCA